This 274-nucleotide ribosomal RNA is filed under the name uncultured bacterium. Its description in RNAcentral is "partial 16S ribosomal RNA". It matches the Rfam family "Bacterial small subunit ribosomal RNA", at positions 523 to 796 of the family's 1533-position model. The record is from RNAcentral.
AUACGGAGGGUGCAAGCGUUAAUCGGAAUUACUGGGCGUAAAGCGCGCGUAGGCGGUUAUUUAAGUCAGAUGUGAAAUCCCUGGGCUCAACCUAGGAACUGCAUCUGAUACUGGGUAACUAGAGUUUUGGAGAGGUAAGUGGAUUUUCCGGUGUAGCGGUGAAAUGCAUAGAGAUCGGAAGGAACACCAGUGGCGAAGGCGACUUACUGGCCAAAAACUGACGCUGAGGUGCGAAAGCGUGGGUAGCAAACAGGAUUAGAAACCCUAGUAGUCC